This 9009-nucleotide long non-coding RNA is filed under the name Nicotiana tabacum (common tobacco). Its description in RNAcentral is "long non-coding RNA (NTAB_LNC000476)". Lineage: Eukaryota; Viridiplantae; Streptophyta; Magnoliopsida; Solanales; Solanaceae. The record is from RNAcentral.
GCAUAUCUGCACUUACGAGCUUAUAAUUCAUGAGAUCUUUCACUUCAGUCUCCCAGACAAGGAUAACUGAUCCCCGAUUCUUACUAAGCAACAUGCUGUGCACUUUAAAACUACAUCGAUGUCAAAAUUUCAGGAAAAAAAAAAAACUUUCAAAGAACUUUACAAUAUUGCGAUUCCUUCAUAGACUCAAAUCCUGUCAUCACACAAUUCAUCUUGACACAUGGACUUCAAAGCUGUAGAUUUUGUUAGAUACAAAAUGGUAAUUCCAGUCACAGUAGCUUUGUCUUAUUUAGCGUCUGAUUUCUAGUUGUUAGCGUCUGAUUUCUAGUUGCUCUAGAUGGCGAGGUUCUAGUUCAGGUUGAGCCAGUAGGCCAGCUCAGGUCCCAGAGGGGUUUAUUGCUAUCCCAGUGCUUCAAAAUGCCUUGGUCCGUAUGAUUGGUCUUAUGGAGAGCAUGGCUCAGGCAAAUGUACUUCCUAUGGCACCAACUACUUCUCGGGCUGGGGGAGGAGCGCAAACUCCCGCUACUCGCAUUGAGGCAGAUGACUCAGGGAUAUCAGACCCUAGGAGCAUUUCCGGUUGGGGUGGUUCAACCUAUUGUUGCAGCACAGCCGCGAGAGGGUAUUAAUAAGGCAUUAUACAAUUGUCCUUACUUAAAGGAAGUUAGAAGAUUUUUUCUUGCUGCAGUCAAUCAAGGAUCGUCACAGAAAUCAACAAAGCCUUCUGAAAAAAGGUAUACUGCGGUCUCCAUGAGGCAUAUUACCAUUAGACGCUCUUCUUCACUGGAUUCUUCCGCAUAGAGUCCUUCAAAAGUCAUUGUCAGAUCAGAGCAGCUUAGGGAUUGUAUGAGGAGACCAUCUUUGCAGCACAUCAGAAAAGUUCUCAACCUUGUUGGGCAAAUACAUGCACAAUAUGCAAAAAGAAGCUAGUUUCAGAGAGGAGUAAUUGGUUCUGACUAGCUUCUUAUGCCCAAUCUCUAUUUUUUUGAAAUGAGAGAGUUUUAGUGUUUCCAUAUAUCUUAUCAGUUCCAAGCUUCAUCUUAGAAAAUACAGAUAAAACAGGUUUGCCUUCUCAUUCAACCUCUGCAGGGGCAUUUAAACUUGCAAAUGCUUUGGAUUUUCUCAUCCUUCUUUGAAAGGUUCAAAUCCGAAAGGCUAUGGGGUAGUGAUCACCUAGAGCAUAAAGAGCCAGAACUAGGCAGCAGAAUGAAGGCAGAAUUACCAUUUAGAACAAGAUAAUUUUUUUCUUCGUAUCAUCUUAUGCUGAAAGAUGAAAGCCCAUAGAUCUCGCACUUAUUAGAACGAAAAGUGAAGAAGUCAAGAACCCAAGAUACACAAACUAUCAUGUAUGAUCGUCAAUUGAUACCUAAUUAUAUAGUUGCUUUCUAGUGCUGAGUGACACUAUGGAAUAAAACAAAUUCAGACUCAGAAAUUUUGUAAGCAUACGUAUGUACUUUUCCUUGUCUACUGAUUUGCACCAUGUGAACACAAGUCAACAAUUAUGAUAAAAAGCCUAGAGAGUAAGAAAGCCAACAGCUUAUACCAAAUGAAUAAGUACAAAGAAAAAACUCUGUUGUCCCAAUCUGAGUACAUUUCUCAGGAGAAUCUACUUCUUUACACCAAGAGUCAAGCCAAGGUUUUGAAACAGUGUACAGUACUCAAUCGCCUAGAGGCACAUUAAUUCUUCAGAAAUAUGCUGAGAUAGCUACCUUAGUGUAGUAGUUUGAAGACCUUACCUUAUGUUUAGAUGCUCUCCUAACCUGAGAGUGUAGUAGUUUGAAGACCUUCCCUAACUCAAACAAAAUGAGCUUCCUCAUUCCUCAUCACAAUUUUAGAGCAAUUUCUAAGUUCAAUUUCAUUUUUAGAAACCGUUGCCCUCCUUUGUAUAGUCUCAGAUGCUGCUAGAGAUAUACAUAACAAACAGAUGUCAAAGUAAUACAAAAUCUUUCCUUCAUUUUUUUUAAAAAUAAAUAUCAAAGUUAUAUAGAUAAUGAACGAUAGUAGCCCCACAAACUAGCAUUUUUACACGGACUAGUCUUAUUCCGUAAGAUUCUCGUGCUGAAACGUCUUACGGAUUGAGACUAGAACAUGAUCUCCCAAUGCCGGUACCAAAGCAGUCCAAAUGCCUCAACUUCAACAGCAAAAACAGCACAAUACCGCACCCAAAUCCCAGUGCAGCGCUGGACCCUGUCAAUGAGACAGCAGCACAAACCAACAUCACAAAAGAUUCUUCCUUCGAAUUCAUAACCCUUGACGCCAUAGCCAAUUCAAUCCCAGCAAAUAACAAAAGCACCCCAAGUAUCCCAAUAGGAAACUGACUCAAAAUCCUCACAAACGAGCUCCCAAAUACAAGUCCAAGAACCAAUUUCCCCAAUCCAAGAAAAGCCACUGAAGCCCCACUCCUCCCACCAAAUCUAUACUGUCCAGCUAAUCCUCCUGCCCCGUGGCAACACGGCAUUGCUCCAAACCAACAGCCUACCAAAUUCAUUAACCCAACACUCACUGAAACUCUUGUAGCUGACACUUCCUUUUCUGGGAACAAAUCAGCUGACAGUUUACACACUGCGAUCACGGAAUUUAAUACGGAUAACGGAAUCUGUGGAAUCGCGCCCCUUAAAAAACCGGUUUUCCAGUCUUCCCACGUGAUUUUUAAAACAUGAAUCUUUGACGGGCCAAAUUUAAUAUCACCAAUAAUUGAAGGAUCGCGCACGAAACAGAGGAUCAACCCCAGCAAAAACACAAUAAGAGCUGCUGGAAUUGCUGAUAGUGUACGUAAUCUGCGCCGAACUCUGGGUUGAUUACAGUCGUUGGUUACAAUAAUUCUGUCUUCCUCGUCGUCCUCAACAACUUCACCGGAGCCGGUGACUAGUAUAAGAAAAGAUACAGCACUGAGAGCCAAAAUAAGGCCGUCAAGACCAAGCCACGGACGUGGGGUUGUACUGCUGGCUUUAGUAGUGGCCGUAAAGUCUUGAUCAUAGCGUAUGUAUUUAAUAGCAGAGAAGGCAAAAGCGAGGCCUUGAGAGAGCUGAACGCCGCGAACAACAGGGAGCGGAAUAAACCGGUAGAAAAAGGACAUAAGGCCAGUGGCUCCAAGGAAGAGAAGGGUGGAUGCGGUGGAGAUACCAGCGGCGGCGAUUUGAGGAACAGUAAGAUGAGGUGUUUCAGAGACGGCGACGGCAGCGAUGGAUUUCAUGGGUUGAACAGGCAUCGGAAUUCCGAAGAGAGCGCCAGUGAUGAUGUUGUAAAAUGCAGUGAAGAUAAGGGUAGUGCUGAGGUCGAGAUGGGAGACUAAGGUUAGUGUUAGAACAAUGGGGAUGUAAGUGCCUAAGUCGCCGACAGAACCGCCGAGUUCGGAGAGGAGGGAGGUUUUGAGACGGAGUGAAGUGGUGAAUGGAAGGGUGGAAAGGUGGCUGCGCCACCAGCUGCGACGGAGGAGGGGAGUUGUAUGGUCAGAAGUUUGCUCAGCCAUUUUUGCCUGUGGAAGUGGCCAGGGGAGGACUGAUCACAGAUGUGAUAUGAACUUAUGAAGGUGGCGCGCACGCAAUUAAACGGAAAAUGACAGGCUUUUUCUAAUAACAACUAGGGAAGGUUGGAAUAUUAGGAGUAUAUACUAUAUAUAUAUAUAUUACAUUACAUUGCAACUAUUAAUAAGGGAGAAUGCUUCCGGUCAAAGUGAAUUGACUGAAAAACUCAAAUUAUCUCCUGUCAUCCUCCUUGCCUAUCUGGGGCAAUUUUGACAUUUAAGUCGAAUGUGCUUUAACGCCAUAUAUUUUAUUGUCUGCCUUUAUUUAUUUGACUAGACAAAAUACUGAAACAGUGGUCCCCUUUAAUUUGUCAUAUUUACACGUUCAGCAAGCUGAGGGCUAUUAUGAUUCAUGGCCCCACUAUCAUUUCACACUAAUUUUACAAUUUACGUUCUUAUGCGCAUGUUUAGAUUAAUGAGUAAAAUCCACUUAAAUUUAUCAUCUCACAUCCAACUCCACCUUAAAUCAACAACAAUAUGCCCAAUAUAUUUUUACAGUAUACAAUUUAAAAAGAAUAAUGUAUACUUAGAUCUUACGCUUACCUCGCAAAAAUAAAAAAACUAUUUCAGAAAGACUCUCAGCUCAAAAGAAGCAAAAUUUACAUCAUGUUUGAAAAAUAAAAUUUCCCUUAAAUGAGUAUACUAAUUAUGUAAUGUUUAAAUUGUGUAUAUAGUUUUUUCUCUUACUUUAUAGUUUAAAAGCGAGUAACAUUUUCUGUCUUAAUAUUCUAUUUGAUAUUAAAAAUAAGAAUAAACAGAAUAUUAACUACUAUAAUCAAGCAAAAUACAAAUUAUUUUACAAAAGGCUAAUCCUUAAAUAUUGCUACGCCAUCUCAAACCAAAACAUUGAGUUACUUUUAUUAAUUGUUAAUUAAGCUAUUCUCAUUUACAAAAUAACUUGCUCCGACUUAAUGUAAAAUACUAAUUAUAAAUUUAUGUAUAUAUAUAUAUAUAAAAGAUGAAUUGAGUAAUCUAAUUAAGAAAUAAUACAGACUCAAAUUAGAACUCACAGCAUCGCUUGAAAUGCAUUAAUUUCACCAUUUGAAUCUUCGUGAUUAUUUUGAAUAUUAAGUGAACAUUUCAAGGUGCAAUUGUUUAAAAGAAGAUAUCUCAUCUUAUUUAAUACUAUUAACAAGUGAAUUAUAGAAAAAUAUAAAUUUUUUGGUUAUUCACAAGUUAACGAGGUUUAAAUAAAUUAGGAACUUUUUUCUUAAAUUUAACAUGCUCAGAAAUUACCAAAAUGUGUUGCCUAUGAAUUUUUGUGCUACUAAUAAGCCUACUUAUUAUUUUACUAAAAAAAGAUAUAUUGUAACUUUCAUAUUAGAAUAUGAGGAAAAAACAACACACAACGACAAAGAAAAGCAAGUUGAUGAAAUAUUGGGACCAUUUUACUCCUUUUUCCUCUAUGUUUAAUUCUAAUAAAAUAAUUUUAAUCAUAUAGUUAACUCGGAAACAAAAUAGUUUUUCUUGACUAAAGAUACAUAUGAAAUUUCUAUCUUUAAAUAUAUUAUUUAAAUUUACAUGAAUGAUCUUUAUAAAAUAAUUGGAAUAAUACAAUUAAGAAUAUUAUCUUUGUAAUUAUGUGUUAGCAUGGGCCAUCCCACGUCUAGUUACAGGUACAAACCAUAAGAUUUACACCUUUAGCUUUUGAGUCCGAUAAAUUAAUUCUUUGAGCUAAUGCUUUUUGGUGGUUCUCAAUAUUCUGAAACAUUUACUGAUAUUAAUCGUUCUCACAGUCGUGAACUCUUAAUUGUACAUGCAACUCCAUAAAAAGAAUCUAAUUACGCUCAAAAUUUUGAAAAUGAGAAGAAAACAGAAAGUUACUAAGCAAAACGUGACAUUAAAAUUUAAGAGAGUUAAUUUUCUAACCCAUUCAAAAUUCCAACCACGAUUAAUAAUAUAAUAUAUAUAUAUUAAUAUAUAAUAUAGUAGUAUAUAUUAUAUUUAUAUAUUUGUUUAAUAACAAGGAAGCCAGGUAGCUUAUAGCCUAUAGUCUUUAAUCAUCUUUCUCUUUUUAACUUGUGAGGAAUGUUUCUCUGCUAUUAGAUAUGUGAAAAGCCGUUGAUAUUAAUUCAUUCCCAUCUUUGAUAGUUGUUGAUGUUGAUCGAGAAAAGCAUAAAUAAAUAUCUUAUUCAAUGUCUAUAGCUGCAAAUACGUUAGGCCAACUGGACAAUUUAAGUCCCAGAUAAUGAGUCUGUGAAGUAUUUAUCAAUUUCAUUUCAUUCGAAGAAUUAGCCUAAAUAGUCGUUCGUCCAACUAUUUAAAUUAAAAAUAACUCGUGUAGGUAUAAUAUAUAUAUAUAUAUAUAUAUAUAUAUAUAUAUAUAUAUAAUUUAUGUAUAUGACUAAUAAAANNNNNNNNNNNNNNNNNNNNNNNNNNNNNNNNNNNNNNNNNNNNNNNNNNNNNNNNNNNNNNNNNNNNNNNNNNNNNNNNNNNNNNNNNNNNNNNNNNNNNNNNNNNNNNNNNNNNNNNNNNNNNNNNNNNNNNNNNNNNNNNNNNNNNNNNNNNNNNNNNNNNNNNNNNNNNNNNNNNNNNNNNNNNNNNNNNNNNNNNNNNNNNNNNNNNNNNNNNNNNNNNNNNNNNNNNNNNNNNNNNNNNNNNNNNNNNNNNNNNNNNNNNNNNNNNNNNNNNNNNNNNNNNNNNNNNNNNNNNNNNNNNNNNNNNNNNNNNNNNNNNNNNNNNNNNNNNNNNNNNNNNNNNNNNNNNNNNNNNNNNNNNNNNNNNNNNNNNNNNNNNNNNNNNNNNNNNNNNNAUUGUGACUCUCCCAAUCAGCUCUUCCGUACACGAAAAAGUCAGAGCCAAGUUGGUGAAAUCGUGACUACACAAAAUCUGAAACGGUUCCCUUUUUCCCGUGGGGCUAAGGCUGGUCGCUCUUACGAAAAUCUGAAAGGUGUUGAUUUUGCAAUCAUCAAUGAGAUGCCCCCAAUGAAUUUAUUUAUUUAAUAAAGGAAAUUUACCAUAGCUAAAUCCAAGAACUAUUAAUAGAUUAUAGCUACCUUUUAAUUAAAUUGUACUUUUCUAUAUGAAACUUAAAUUAUACUUUUCUUUUUUAUUACUUAACUAUCCUAUUAUUGUGGGAAGAUAUUUAAAAGGAAUGAAGUAUUCGCUGUUUUCCUAUUAUAUAUAUUAUAUUUUAUAUAUAUAGAAGAGAGAUGAGGAGGUCGACCAAGGGCAUUAUUGUCAUUUCAAAAAUAUAACUAUUCCCUCCCUUUCAAUUUAGAUGUGGUAGUUUGACUCAGUAUGGAGUUUAAGGGAAAAAAAAGACUUUUGAAACUUGUGAUCUUAAAAUUUAAAGGGUAAAAACUUUGCGGGACUAUAAUAUUUGUGUGACUAUAAAAACUUCUCAUUAAAAAUAAAAUAAAAAAUUUAAAAUUGAAUUAUAAUAUAUUUGAAAAAAAAAAAAGGUAACUACGGAGUACAUUAUAUAACAGGCUCAACAGUUUGAUUGCCGGUUUCAAUUGACCGAAAAAAACCAAAAGCAAGGUGACCCAAACUUGAAUUCUUCUGUGGACCCCAUUUCUCAUUCUAACCUUACUAUCUUCUUUGAAUGCACUAUUUAAUUAAUGAGACUACUUCACUCACACCUUCACUGUCUAUUCUUUUUUUCAUUUAGUACUUUUAAUUAAAAAAAAUUAUCUGUUGGGUAAUUUUAUAAUUCAACGUUUAUUUGAUUAAAAACAUACAAUGGUUACAUACAUUUAUAUAUAACAAUUCUAAUGUCUCCUUCAAAAAUAUUAUUUCAAUUGUUUUAGGCAAAAUACAUAACUUACCACAUGAACUAUGGACUAAAUUUUCAUUACAGAUUUUUUGCGGACGAAAAUUAUUUUACAUACUCAAACUUUUUAAAAUGUGUCUAAGACACACUUCCUUUACAACGUGGCAUGCGCGUGCUUAACAAAAAAUGAAAGCGCGUUCACCUGUUAAUUUGUUAUUCCAAUCCUUAUUUAGAUGACAUAUAUUAAAGUUUGAUUUUUUUCUUUCUUUUUAACAUUAUUGGUUCCUCUUUACCCCCCCCCCCUCCCCCAAACCCACCCUUCUUCCUCAUCUCACACCAUUUUCUUUUCUUAAAAAAUUAUAGCCAUUUAUUAAUUCCCAUACAACCAUACUAUCUGAAAUUCUUUUAAAUUGUUCAAUUCAUUUGAAUUAUUUCUCUCAAAGAUCUCUAGUAUUUUGGUUCUUUAUCUUCAGAUUUUUCCCAUUCAGUUUUCUUUUUCGGUUUGUUUUAAGAUUCAACUUUUUGUCUUCUUUCCCACAAUGUCUAUGUUCCCAACUUUCAGAAAUUGAUAAACAUAGCUAAAUGAUCGAGAAAAAUUACAGAGCCUCAUUGCCUUCUUCUCCUUUUCAUUCUCCACCCAUCUUCUCUUUAUUCGGCGCCACCAUGAACUGUGGCAUAUCAAAGGUUGGGUCGAGUUUCCAAUCACAUUUUCACGGUGAAUUGCAAUGUGAAGUUCACGAAUUUGUUAAGUUUUUAUCUUGAUUGUUUUUCAUUAUUUUCUCCUAUUUUUAUUUUCAAGUAGUCUUUGUGAGAUUUAAGUGGGUAUUCAAAUUAAUUAGAAAUAGGUUAUUAGGCGUUUUUGAAGUGAAAUAAUCUGUUUGAUUAUUGUAAAUGAGCUAUUUGACUUUAAAAAUUUACUUGGGCUCCUAAAUUUUUUGUUCAAUCUGAAGGUGGCGUGUUCUGGUUUCCUUCUGUCAGAGAAGACGCCUUGUAAAAGAGAAAGAUAUGAGAAUUGCUAAGGGGUAUAACUGUUUUAUUUUUAAAAACAUUUAAUAACAUGUGUCACGAUCUUAUUGGUGCGUGAAUUUACACAUUAUGAGAAAUUGGUAAAGAAAAAAGUGGUGUGUCUUAGACACAUUUUGAAAAGGUUGAGUGUGUAAAGUAAUUUUCGUCCGCAAAAAAUGUGUAACAUGGAUUUGGUCCAUAGUUCAGGUGGUAACUUAUGUAUUUUGCCUUUGUUUUAUUUGUUGACUAUUUUAGGUAAAGACUAUUUUUUUAAAAAAAAAAAUAGCAAUAAAUUAUGUAAAUUUUUAUUAAGGUGUUCUUAUACUAGUAUCAAUUGAUAUAAUUUUAUACAAGUUCUCAUUAAAUUGCAAUUUUAAUUGGAAUACUUUAUAAAAUUAGGAAUAAAUAUUUAAGAUGUGAUAUGAACUUAUGAAGGUGGCGCGCACGCAAUUAAACGGAAAAUGACAGACUUUUGCUAAUAAUAACUGGGGAAGGUUGGAAUAUUAGGAGUAUGCUAUAUUACACAUACCAUAAGAUUUUAGUUAACUAGUAUUAAUAUACGCGCGUUGCGCGUGUAUCCUGUAUAAAUGAGAAAUAUUUUAUUAAAAUAACAUAAUUAAUUAUUCGAAAAAUGUAUUUGUGUUACAUCUCUUUAUUUUCACUGUCUUGAUUCGGUUCUGAAGUCAGAGAAUUUGAUAGCCUGUGUUCUUAGAUAAUGAAGGUAAUGAUUGUUGCUUGAACCUCUAUAAGAAGUUAAAGCAAUUCUUUC